UUUCCGUAGGUGAACCUGCGGAAGUAUCAUUACCGGGUGAGGGUCUCUCAGGCCCGACCUCCCACCCUGUGUUUUUGUGACCUUGUUGCCUUGGCGGGCCCGCCUCGAUGAGAGGCAGCCGGAAGCUCACCGCUUUGGGCCCGUGCCCGUGAGUAGCCCCCUUAAAUUCUUAAUAAACCUGUCGUCAGAGUUAAUGGAUAUAAUGAAAAAAAACUUUCAACAACGGAUCUCUUGGUUCUG
This 240-nucleotide unclassified non-coding RNA is filed under the name plant metagenome. RNAcentral's name for it is "partial contains small subunit ribosomal RNA, internal transcribed spacer 1, and 5.8S ribosomal RNA". The record is from RNAcentral.